Molecule: ribosomal RNA, 343 nt
Filed under: uncultured fungus
Lineage: Eukaryota; Fungi
Description: eukaryotic LSU rRNA
Rfam family: 5.8S ribosomal RNA (bases 1-71)
Source: RNAcentral
GUGAAUCAUCGAGUCUUUGAACGCACCUUGCACCCUUUGGUAUUCCGAAGGGUACACCCGUUUGAGUGUCAUUGUAAUCUCACUACGAUCGACUUAUGUCUUUCGGUAUGUGGACUUGGAUGUUGCCGUGGAUGUCUAUGGCUCGUCUGAAAUGCUUCAGUGUACCCCGCAAUGCGGCGUAUUCGGUGUGAUACAUCUUCACCGGAGUCGAUCCUUUGUUGGGUCGUCGUCUGUCAAUGUGUGGCUCUAUGCUUCGAACCGUCUUGAUAGGACAAUCUCUGACAAUUCGACCUCAAAUCGGGUGGGACUACCCGCUGAACUUAAGCAUAUCAAUAAGCGGAGG